UAUUCUUGGAUCUGGAGAGAUUCUCUUACAGUUUAUUUUUGGUAUUAGUUUCCUAGAGGCAACUAGAGGAGGAGAACUUUUGAGAUUUGGAUUUUGAUAGCUAAAGGACGGUUCUUGAUAUUAUGGGUAAUGGUGGAUGCCAAAUGCUUAUGUUUUGAGCUGGAAAUUAAACUGGAAUUUGGGAGGAUUUUCUUUUUCCCCUUCUGUUUUUGGAAAUGCAGUAUUGUCUUGGUUCAUAGAAUUGGUGAAAGUGGAAUUUCUCCUUUAAAUUUUAGCUGUUUUGUGAGGGGGGAAAAAAAAAGAAACAAACAGGGAUUUUGGAGUUUGACUCAGAGUGAAGCAACUCUGUAAAGAAUCUGAAAUCACUAUUUCUUAAUUGGGUUACCAGAGAAUUGCUUAGACAUCUUAAAGGUUGUGUCACAUACACUGGGUCAAAUUUGAAAAGCCUUGGAUUCUGCUUAAUGAGAUAAAGCACGAUAUAUUGUAACUAGUCAAUUGGAUUGGUUGAGGAGAGGAGCAGGAGAUGGCAGCAAAACUUUUACAUUCAUUGGCGGAUGAUAAUCCAGAUUUGCAGAAGCAAAUAGGAUGCAUGACUGGGAUUUUUCAGCUUUUUGAUCGCCACCAUGUCAUCUCUGGUAGGCGUCGCAACCACAGGCUUCUUCCAGGUGAUUCCCACUUGAACAAUGGCAGCACUGAAAGGGAAUCUUUUAAUGUUUAUCAUCGGGCUACAGCUGCUGAAAUGAAUUUGAACAAGAAUUUGAAAGAGAAACAAAGGAUUUCCACAGAAUCAUCCAGACCAUCUUUCUCAUCCUCUUGUUCAUCCUCAUCUUCUCUGGACUGUAGCAAAACAGCCCAACCAGAAGCCUCUUCCUUUGACAGACUUAUUUUCCCUGAAACUCCUUCAAGGGAUUCUGUUCUAACUCAGCCAACUACCUCUUCACAUUUAGGGUGGCAGCCCCUUGAUCUUCGAGGUUUUGUCAAGGACUCGAUGUAUAGGGAAGCUAAAGGGCCAUCGGUCAAAACUUCAACUAAAGAGGAAGUAGUGGCCCCUGCAGUGAAGCAUAAAGACUCCCCAAGGCCAGUACAGCCCUCCAAAUCUGUAGAUGGAUCUUAUGGAAUUGGGAAAAAAAAUUAUCCUGUUGAUCUUAAGGAAUCCCUUAGAGUUCUUGGUAAACUUCGAGAAGCACCUAGGUAUUACAACGAAACUAGAGAAAGGCCAAGAUCUUUACAUGAACCGAAAGAUGGGUCGUCAUAUACAAUUUCAAAAGAUGCUCCUCGGUUUUCUUACGAUGGGAGGGAGAUGAAUCAUUUGUCUUUUGAGUCACGGGAUACCAUCAAGUCCAACCUAAAGCUAAAAGAGCUGCCUAGACUUUCCCUGGACAGCAGAGAAAUUUCAAUGCGAGGUCCCAACUUUGAUUCAAAAUCAAGUUUCAUUUCAAAAGAUUUACAAAGUGCUGUGAAUUCAAAUGAAAAGAACUAUAAUUUACAGCAUUCAUUGGGAACCCAGAAGCGACCUUCUAAUGUGGUAGCUAAGUUGAUGGGAUUGGAAGCAAUGCCAGACUCUGCAUCCACUAGUUCUAGUCAGUCAGAUUUAAUCAAGAGCAUUCCUGUUGACCAUAGUGAUUCCUUCUCAACAUCAUUGAAAGUGAAUGAUCUAAACAGACCAAUUUGGAUUCCAAAGUCCCCGAGAAACAUAUCAAAAGAGCCUAUGUCACCAAGAUGGAAAAAUCCUGAUUUGAUAGUGAAGCCCAUUUCAAGGUUGCCAAUUGAACCAGCACCAUGGAAGCAACUGGAAGGAAGUCGAGCCUCUCAGAAACCUGCAAAAAUUUCAGCUAAGACACCAAAUUCCUUUCCAACAGUUUACAGUGAGAUUGAGAAGAGAUUGAAAGAUCUUGAAUUCAAUCAAUCUGGAAAGGAUCUCAGAGCUCUUAAGCAGAUUCUGGAAGCAAUGCAGGCCAAGUGGCUAUUGGAGACCAGAAAAGAAGAACAAGGAACAAACUUUGGUACCCAAAGGGAAUAUGAGCCCAACUGUACUAGUCCUAGGCAAAAGCCGAGAUCUUUAAGCCAACGCAACCAAAAGAGCAAUCGUGUUAGUGAUUCAACAAGUAGGGGUUCUGAUUCUUUCAGGACUUGUGAAUCGCCCAUUGUGAUCAUGAAACCAGCUAAACUGGUUGAAAAAUCUGGCAUUCCUGCUUCCUCAGUAAUUCCUAUAGAUAGUUUUCCUGGUCUUCAUAAAAUUCCAAGCAGUGGACAUGCAGGUGGUCAAAAUAGAUCAGCUAAUAACCGAACAGCUAAAAAUCAAUCUCCUGGAAUCACUCACCGGGACCAUACUUUCAACUCCAGUGAUAAGAAAGCCAGUGUGAGGCAUAUAUCAACUCAAUCUUUAACAAGACCUCAACAAUUGCCAAAAGAAAACACCACAAGUUCAGUAAAAAGCUCAGGUUCUGUAAGCCCAAGAUUGCAACAGAAAAAGCUGGAGUUAGAGAAGCGUUCUCGUCCACCAACCCCUCCAUCUGAUUCAAACAGGCCUAGAAGGCUCUCCAACAGGAUGUCAACUGAAUCAGGUUCACCUGGUGGGAAAAACAGACUGAAAGCUCACAAAUUACCACAGAGUGAUGACCAAAUGAGUCAGAUAAGUAAUGAAUCGAGUCAACAAGGGGAUGACAUAUCCCUGCAGUCUGACAGCACUGUUAUCUUUUACUCAAAGACAGAUGUGGAAGUCACGAGCUCUGAACAAGCUACUGAGAUCAAUGGCAGCCAGAGUCCAUCCAUGAAGACUGGCAAUCACUUGCUUUCUGGCGCCAAGCAGAAAAAACCAACUUCAAGUUUGGAAGAAGGUGGAACAUUGACAGAACUUGCUGUUGAUACCCCAGAGCAUCCUAGUCCCAUCUCUGUUCUUGAUGCAUCAUUGUAUAGAGAUGACACACUGUCUCCAGUAAAGCAGACAACAAAUUUGUCUAAAGGUGAUGGCGCUGAAGAUUCUAAGGACCAACAUAGUGAGAAUCAGUGGAACGUAGAAAAUAACUUGUUAUCUAACAGUGUGGGGCCUGGUCUUACGUCAGAGAUCAGUCGAAAGAAAUUACAAAACAUAGAGAAUUUGGUACAGAAACUUAGACGAGUAAACUCCACUCAUGAUGAAGCCAGCACAGAUUACAUUGCAUCACUUUGUGAAAACACAAAUCCAGACCACAGAUAUAUCUCUGAGAUCUUGUUAGCUUCAGGUCUUCUACUCAGAGAUCUUGGCUCUGAAAUGACCGCAUUUCAGCUCCACUCAGCAGGUCACCCUAUUAACCCUGAGUUAUUCUUUGUAUUGGAACAAACCAAGGCCAGCACUUUGCUUUCGAAAGAAGAAUGCAGCCCUGGAAAGAGCUCCCAUUCAAAGCCAAACCCUGAAAGGUUUCACCGGAAGCUCAUAUUUGAUGCUGUUAAUGAAAUGAUUGUUAAGAAGUUAGCAUUAGUGGUGCCCUCUCCUGAGCCAUGGUUGAAAUCUGAUAAACUGGCAAAGAAAACCCUCUGUGCUCAAAAGCUUCUAAAAGAGUUGUGUUCAGAGAUUGAACAACUUCGAACCAAGAAAUUAGAAUGCUGCUUAGGGGAAGAGGAGGAUGGUCUGAAAGGCAUUUUGUGGGAUGAUGUGGUACAUCGGUCUGAUAGUUGGACAGAUUUUCAUGGCGAAGUUUCUGGUGUCGUGUUAGAUAUUGAGAGGUCAAUCUUUAAGGAUUUAGUCGAUGAAAUUGUGAUCGGCGAGGCAGCUGGUUUUCGCACCAAAGGAGGUAGGCGUAGGAAGCUGUUUGCAAAGUAGCUAGCUGUCUGCAAAAUAUCAUCUUCUAGUUCUUCAUUUUACCUUUUGUCUUUCUUUCUUAUUAUAUUUUUUAUAUUAAAGCACAAUAGUUCGUGAGUAAGAACUGGUUGGAUUGUAAAAAAUUAAUUUUCUCAGAUUUUGACAUUAUACAUAUUCAUAAGAAUGAAUAUAUCAUAUAUGCCAAACUUUUUCCUCAGCA
RNAcentral lists this unclassified non-coding RNA (3998 nucleotides) under Hevea brasiliensis (rubber tree). Lineage: Eukaryota; Viridiplantae; Streptophyta; Magnoliopsida; Malpighiales; Euphorbiaceae. The record is from RNAcentral.